AUUGAACGCUGGCGGCAUGCCUUACACAUGCAAGUCGAACGGUAACAGGUCUUCGGAUGCUGACGAGUGGCGAACGGGUGAGUAAUACAUCGGAACGUGCCUAGUAGUGGGGGAUAACUACUCGAAAGAGUGGCUAAUACCGCAUGAGAUCUACGGAUGAAAGCAGGGGAUCGCAAGACCUUGUGCUACUAGAGCGGCCGAUGGCAGAUUAGGUAGUUGGUGGGAUAAAAGCUUACCAAGCCGACGAUCUGUAGCUGGUCUGAGAGGACGAUCAGCCACACUGGGACUGGGACACGGCCCAGACUCCUACGGGAGGCAGCAGUGGGGAAUUUUGGACAAUGGGCGAAAGCCUGGUCCAGCAAUGCCGCGUGCAGGAUGAAGGCCUUCGGGUUGUAAACUGCCUUUGUACGGAACGAAAAGCCCCGGGUUAAUACCCUGGGGUCAUGACGGUACCGUAAGAAUAAGCACCGGCUAACUACGUGCCAGCAGCCGCGGUAA
This 498-nucleotide ribosomal RNA is filed under the name uncultured bacterium. RNAcentral describes it as "partial 16S ribosomal RNA". It matches the Rfam family "Bacterial small subunit ribosomal RNA", at positions 30 to 523 of the family's 1533-position model. The record is from RNAcentral.